AGAGUUCGUAGGUGGUUGAAAAAGUUGGUGGUGAAAUCCCAGAGCUUAACUCUGGAACUGCCAUCAAAACUUUUCAGCUAGAGUAUGAUAGAGGAAAGCAGAAUUUCUAGUGUAGAGGUGAAAUUCGUAGAUAUUAGAAAGAAUACCAAUUGCGAAGGCAGCUUUCUGGAUCAUUACUGACACUGAGGAACGAAAGCAUGGGUAGCGAAGAGGAUUAGAUACCCUCGUAGUCCAUGCCCGUAAACGAUGUGUGUUAGACGUUGGAAAUUUAUUUUCAGUGUCGCAGCGAAAGCGAUAAACACACCGCCUGGGGAGUACGACCGCAAGGUUAAAACUCAAAUGAAUUGACGGGGACCCGCACAAGUAGUGGAGCAUGUGGUUUAAUUCGAAGAUACGCGCAGAACCUUACCAACACUUGACAUGUUCGUCGCGACUUUAAGAGAUUAAAGUUUUCGGUUCGGCCGGACGAAACACAGGUGCUGCAUGGCUGUCGUCAGCUCGCGUCGUGAGAUGUUGGGUUAAGUCCCGCAACGAGCGCAACCCUCACUUUUAGUUGCCAUCAUUAAGUUGGGCACUCUGAAAGAACUGCCAGUGAUAAGCUGGAGGAAGGUGGGGAUGACGUCAAGUCCUCAUGGCCCUUACGUGUUGGGCUACACACGUGCUACAAUGGUAUCUACAACAGGAAGCAAGACGGCGACGUUAAGCAAAUCCUUAAAAGAUACCUCAGUUCGGAUUGCACUCUGCAACUCGAGUGCAUGAAGCUGGAAUUACUAGUAAUCGUGGAUCAGCGUGCCACGGUGAAUGCGUUCCCGGGUCUUGUACACACCGCCCGUCACACCAUGGGAGUUGGUUCUACCUUAAGGCAAGGUUUAAAACCCUUGACCACGGUAUAGUCAGCGACUGGGGUGAAGUCGUAACAAGGUAGCCGUAGGG
This 933-nucleotide ribosomal RNA is filed under the name marine metagenome. RNAcentral describes it as "bacterial SSU rRNA". It matches the Rfam family "Bacterial small subunit ribosomal RNA", at positions 564 to 1507 of the family's 1533-position model. The record is from RNAcentral.